RNAcentral lists this ribosomal RNA (292 nucleotides) under uncultured eukaryote. RNAcentral describes it as "partial 18S ribosomal RNA". It matches the Rfam family "Eukaryotic small subunit ribosomal RNA", at positions 6 to 299 of the family's 1831-position model. The record is from RNAcentral.
GGUUGAUCCUGCCAGUAGUCAUAUGCUUGUCUCAAAGAUUAAGCCAUGCAUGUCUAAGUAUAAACUGCUUAUACUGUGAAACUGCGAAUGGCUCAUUAAAUCAGUUAUAGUUUAUUUGAUGGUACACUACUACUCGGAUAACCGUAGUAAUUCUAGGGCUAAUACGUGCGUAAACCCUGACUUCUGGAAAGGGCGUAUUUAUUAGAUAAAAGGCCGACCGGACUUUGUCCGACCCGCGGUGAACCAUGAUAACUUCACGAAUCGCAUGGCCUUGCGCCGGCGAUGUUUCAUU